This 499-nucleotide ribosomal RNA is filed under the name uncultured bacterium. RNAcentral describes it as "bacterial SSU rRNA". It matches the Rfam family "Bacterial small subunit ribosomal RNA", at positions 431 to 920 of the family's 1533-position model. The record is from RNAcentral.
CUCUUUCGGCCGGGAAGAAAUCGCAUGGGUGAAUACCCUGUGUGGAUGACGGUACCGGAACAAGAAGCACCGGCUAACUACGUGCCAGCAGCGCGGUAAUACGUAGGGUGCGAGCGUUAAUCGGAAUUACUGGGCGUAAAGCGUGCGCAGGCGGUUUGGUAAGACAGGCGUGAAAUCCCCGGGCUUAACCUGGGAACUGCGCUUGUGACUGCCAGGCUAGAGUACGGCAGAGGGGGGUGGAAUUCCACGUGUAGCAGUGAAAUGCGUAGAGAUGUGGAGGAACACCAAUGGCGAAGGCAGCCCCCUGGGUCGAUACUGACGCUCAUGCACGAAAGCGUGGGUAGCAAACAGGAUUAGAUACCCUGGUAGUCCACGCCCUAAACGAUGUCAACUAGGUGUUGGGUGGGUAAAACCAUUUAGUACCGUAGCUAACGCGUGAAGUUGACCGCCUGGGGAGUACGGCCGCAAGGUUAAAAACUCAAAAGGAAUUGACGGGGAC